This 500-nucleotide ribosomal RNA is filed under the name uncultured bacterium. RNAcentral's name for it is "partial 16S ribosomal RNA". It matches the Rfam family "Bacterial small subunit ribosomal RNA", at positions 30 to 523 of the family's 1533-position model. The record is from RNAcentral.
AUUGAACGCUGGCGGCAGGCCUAACACAUGCGAGUCGAGCGGAUGACGGGAGCUUGCUCCUUGAUUCAGCGGCGGACGGGUGAGUAAUGCCUAGGAAUCUGCCUGGUAGUGGGGGACAACGUUUCGAAAGGAACGCUAAUACCGCAUACGUCCUACGGGAGAAAGCAGGGGACCUUCGGGCCUUGCGCUAUCAGAUGAGCCUAGGUCGGAUUAGCUAGUUGGUGGGGUAAUGGCUCACCAAGGCGACGAUCCGUAACUGGUCUGAGAGGAUGAUCAGUCACACUGGAACUGAGACACGGUCCAGACUCCUACGGGAGGCAGCAGUGGGGAAUAUUGGACAAUGGGCGAAAGCCUGAUCCAGCCAUGCCGCGUGUGUGAAGAAGGUCUUCGGAUUGUAAAGCACUUUAAGUUGGGAGGAAGGGCAGUAAGCGAAUACCUUGCUGUUUUGACGUUACCGACAGAAUAAGCACCGGCUAACUCUGCGCCAGCAGCCGCAGUAA